This 497-nucleotide ribosomal RNA is filed under the name uncultured bacterium. Its description in RNAcentral is "partial 16S ribosomal RNA". It matches the Rfam family "Bacterial small subunit ribosomal RNA", at positions 28 to 507 of the family's 1533-position model. The record is from RNAcentral.
GAUGAACGCUGGCGGCGUGCCUAAUACAUGCAAGUCGAGCGAACGGACGAGAAGCUUGCUUUUCUGAUGUUAGCGGCGGACGGGUGAGUAACACGUGGAUAACCUACCUAUAAGACUGGGAUAACUUCGGGAAACCGGAGCUAAUACCGGAUAAUAUUUUGAACCGCAUGGUUCAAAAGUGAAAGACGGUCUUGCUGUCACUUAUAGAUGGAUCCGCGCUGCAUUAGCUAGUUGGUAAGGUAACGGCUUACCAAGGCAACGAUGCAUAGCCGACCUGAGAGGGUGAUCGGCCACACUGGAACUGAGACACGGUCCAGACUCCUACGAGAGGCAGCAGUAGGGAAUCUUCCGCAAUGGGCGAAAGCCUGACGGAGCAACGCCACGUGAGUGAUGAAGGUCUUCGGAUCGUAAAACUCUGUUAUUAGGGAAGAACAUAUGUGUAAGUAACUGUGCACAUCUUGACGGUACCUAAUCAGAAAGCCACGGCUAACUACGUG